AAUAAUAAAUUAUAGUCUGAAAUAAACCUUUGAAAUGUAAUUUAUCAGAAAGAAUACAGCCACUUUGCUAUCACAGAAGCACUUUACGUCCUAUCAGCAGGUUGAUCAACAGAGCACACAGUUAACCAAAGGUUAGGAUGAGACUGGCCAUAAAGCACGGACGGGCCUUUGUUGGAGCCGAGUUUAACGGGUACAACGGCCAGCGCGCCGGCAGGUGACAUCUGCUAAUGAGAGAACCACUUGUGGCUUUAUGAGUCACUGAUGAUGGAAGCGAGGCCCUUGGAAGCCCAGGGGACGGACUGAACUUGUGCUCAGCUCAUGUGGUGCAGAGCCAUCACCAAUGAUACGUGGCGUCGCACGCAAGGGACUAACAGUCGUCGGAGAGCAAUUAGCGCACAUUCAGCCCGUCUCUUCACAUAUAACAACUUAAAUCUGUCAACAAGACAGACAGAUUCAGACUUGCAAUUACUUUACAUGUUGGUGCAGAAAUAUGCGAUUUGCCUAGGCAAAAAUUUGUAGGGCGGAGACACAAUACCUGUGUUCCUUUACUAAACUGGGAAAUCCUUUAAACCCAGCAACAGAGGCAAAGUUAAAAAGGUGCAACAGUGCAGCGUUUUCUUACUUUAUCAUGACCGAGCCAUCUGCGUUAACCGCCAUUUGACCUCAGUGCAGAGAAGCUAGUGGUUCGAACAGUGGGGGCACACAUACUUGUUCUCACGUGCACUCACAUGCACGUGCAUGGCCUAGCUGCAUAAACAAAGCACAGAGCAGACAGCUCACCACCAGCCCGAGAGUUGGGAUUUUUGAUACGAUUGAUUGGCUGGAAUUCAAGAGCAAGGAGUUGAGUUUUAACCAAGAUUUCUGGGUUUAUUUGACCCGCGUAAUUUUCACAUUUAGAACUCUUGCGCUAUGAGGCGUUGGUUCAUCCGGAACCAGUCAUCUCUAAUCGAUGCACAAAAUGUUGCAUCAUUUAACUUUGAAGCUUGAACCAGGCGUAAACAAAAGAGUAACCACCAGUAGCACAGUAUCUUGUACAGUCCCAUAUAGUAAUAAAGAAACGCGCUUUCCACUGUGAAUUAGCAUGAGGACGUAAUUCUGCACAAAGAAGCACAUCAGCACACAAAUUGGGGUGGGUGGAGUCAGCGAGUAAACAGGACGGUGAACAGACCAUCUCAUGGGACUCCUUUGGCCCUGCUUUAUAAAUUUGUAUAUUUUUCAUGUGUACGCUUUGAACAGACACGCUUGUGAGCACAACAUGAAGAUGGCCUGCCAUUGCCCAGAGUCACACCAGCCUUCCUUGAUGUAGAAUUAUGUUGAAUUUUGCCUUUAAAAUAGGCCAAAGCAUGAACAAAUUAGGUCAGGAACAGGUCUACAGCUUCCUGGGUAUUUAUGUAUGCAAUAGUCACAUUGGUGUCCCGUUAUUGACGUCAAACAUCCUGAGGAACUUGAUUAACAUAAGAAUGCAGGUGUACAUGUUAGGACAGGGGGGAUACCCCGCUCAGGUGUAAGCAAAGCUAAACAACAGUACAAAACAGAAAGGGCCAGCUGGCACUACGUAACAUUCCUUCCCAACUCACUCCACACCCUCGCCUUAUCCGCAUAAAUUGGUCGUGGAUACCUUGAUUUCCUAGUGCAACGUUAAAUACAUAUCUUUUCCAUUUGUCAAGGCGUUCUAUAUUAGUUUUAAAGUCUGUUUGGCUCCUCCAUUUAAUCAAACAAAGCUCAGCAGGAAGUGAGGGGACAUUGGAUCACUUGCGCUUCUGGCCUGCAAGUAGAAUAAAAAAAGUCAACAUUGUCUUCUUUUUUCAGUGAUUUACAAAUACACAAAAUAGGCUACAAAGUUCUACUAGCCUAGAUUUCCUAGAAAAAGUAGUUGUAGGCCACAGGAAACUGGGACAUCAUGUGAAGAGAGUUGAAACUUCAUGUGUUUCUAAUUAUGGCAGAAACAUGAUUAAAGGAACUGCUUACGAUUUCUCUGGAGGCAAACCUCUGACGAAAUCGAAUGAUGAGUGGCUGUUGUCCAGCACUCACAUCGUAGUACCAUUCAGUAGAACAACAAACAGGCCAAAGCCAUCAGCUAAUAGCAUUAUACCCUAGCUGUGGUUUGAGUACGCUGCAGUGACGCAGACAUUUUCAAAAAUAAAAAGACGUACCUGUAUAUCUAGGGUCAAACAAUUUUAAAAUUGGCCAAACACUGGCACAGUACUUUCCUGACUACGUAUCUGCUGCGGUUUUGUCUAUUCAAAAACAAACCAGUGCAUGAUACAAUAACAUAAAUAUUGGGGUAAACUUUAUCAAUACCAACCCACCUAACUGCUAGUGAAAUUGACAUUUUGAAUCCAUUGAUUCUUUUUCAAAAAGCCUGUGUAGAAUCAGAAGUAUCCAUCUAGAAUUACACAUUUUAAAUCACUUCCUAAAUUAAAAACUGAAUAAAAAAGGUUAUGAAAAACACUUUCUGAAAAAAUAGGCCAUUCCUCUAAAGCACGUGAGUAACAGGUUUCCAGGGGAAGUUGGUGAUCGGAGCGAAUGUUGGCAAAUGGGUUGUCAUCCGCUUAAGACACUUUUCCAUGGGGGAGUCAUUGCCUCGCCAACAGAAAACGCCUUGUUUCCACUUGUUGAUGGUCUGACAUGCUUUGCUUUGGCAAUAAGGCUUCCUCAGCAACCCAGGCUGGAUGCCUUGGUGACAAUAACCCCCAUUGAAGUCGUUUUUUUUGCCCACUCACUGCAGCCAUACAGUUUGUGUAUGUGAGAAGUUGCUUUCUCACCGGUUCCGAUGCACAGACAACCCCUCGGUUUUGUUUGAGUCAAUGUCUCUUUUGGCUCAACUGCCUGUCCGGGGUUAGUUUCACUGUGGAUCUCAGGUUAAGCGGGCAGAUAUAGCACAUAGCAACACCAUAUGCCCCGACAAACAGGAAUGGUGGGGGGGGAAGACACACAACUGUCUAAACAUGUCUGUGUCUCAUCAAGUGACCGUUUAAGAAGGCGGGUCACCCCGUUGCGCCCUUUUCUUGCACAAAUCAAAAUAUAAUACAAAAUACAUAAGUCAUGGUCAGCGCGAAACAAACCAAAAUGUUGUGCUACCACUAAUACGCGAGGUCCAUGUGUACCGAGACCGCGGAGGAGAACACAUU
Molecule: long non-coding RNA, 3131 nt
Organism: Gasterosteus aculeatus aculeatus (three-spined stickleback)
Lineage: Eukaryota; Metazoa; Chordata; Actinopteri; Perciformes; Gasterosteidae
Source: Ensembl